CAGCAGUAAGGAAUAUUGCACAAUGGGGGAACCCCUGAGGCAAAAACCCCGCGAGGGCGAAGAAGUUUUUGGGGUUGUAAAGCCCUUCUGGGGGGGAAGAGAGAGGACGGUACCCCAGGAAGAAGUCUCGGCUAACUACGUG
RNAcentral lists this ribosomal RNA (142 nucleotides) under uncultured bacterium. RNAcentral describes it as "partial 16S ribosomal RNA". It matches the Rfam family "Bacterial small subunit ribosomal RNA", at positions 349 to 507 of the family's 1533-position model. The record is from RNAcentral.